RNAcentral lists this ribosomal RNA (478 nucleotides) under uncultured bacterium. RNAcentral's name for it is "bacterial SSU rRNA". It matches the Rfam family "Bacterial small subunit ribosomal RNA", at positions 31 to 507 of the family's 1533-position model. The record is from RNAcentral.
GAACGCUGGCGGCGUGCUUAACACAUGCAAGUCGAACGAAGCAUUUACGACAGAUUUCUUCGGAUUGAAGUUGUUUAUGACUGAGUGGCGGACGGGUGAGUAACGCGUGGGUAACCUGCCUUAUACAGGGGGAUAACAGUUAGAAAUGACUGCUAAUACCGCAUAAGCGCGCAGGAUUGCAUGAUCUGGUGUGAAAAACUCCGGUGGUAUAAGAUGGACCCGCGUCUGAUUAGCUGGUUGGUGAGGUAACGGCCCACCAAGGCGACGAUCAGUAGCCGACCUGAGAGGGUGAACGGCCACAUUGGGACUGAGACACGGCCCAAACUCCUACGGGAGGCAGCAGUGGGGAAUAUUGCACAAUGGGGGAAACCCUGAUGCAGCGACGCCGCGUGAGUGAUGAAGUAUUUCGGUAUGUAAAACUCUAUCAGCAGGGAAGAUAAUGACGGUACCUGACUAAGAAGCACCGGCUAAAUACGUG